This 73-nucleotide transfer RNA is filed under the name Pleodorina starrii. RNAcentral's name for it is "tRNA-Pro". It matches the Rfam family "tRNA". Rfam says of the family: Transfer RNA (tRNA) molecules are approximately 80 nucleotides in length. Their secondary structure includes four short double-helical elements and three loops (D, anti-codon, and T loops). Further hydrogen bonds mediate the characteristic L-shaped molecular structure. tRNAs have two regions of fundamental functional importance: the anti-codon, which is responsible for specific mRNA codon recognition, and the 3' end, to which the tRNAs corresponding amino acid is attached (by aminoacyl-tRNA synthetases). tRNAs cope with the degeneracy of the genetic code in two manners: having more than one tRNA (with a specific anti-codon) for a particular amino acid; and 'wobble' base-pairing, i.e. permitting non-standard base-pairing at the 3rd anti-codon position. Lineage: Eukaryota; Viridiplantae; Chlorophyta; Chlorophyceae; Chlamydomonadales; Volvocaceae. The record is from RNAcentral.
GGGAGUUUGGUCUAGUGGUAUGAUUCUCGCUUCGGGUGCGAGAGGCCGCGAGUUCUGAUUCUUGCAACUCCCC